AUUGAACGCUGGCGGCAGGCCUAACACAUGCAAGUCGAGCGGAUGAAGGGAGCUUGCUCCUGGAUUCAGCGGCGGACGGGUGAGUAAUGCCUAGGAAUCUGCCUGGUAGUGGGGGAUAACGUCCGGAAACGGGCGCUAAUACCGCAUACGUCCUGAGGGAGAAAGUGGGUGAGCGUCGGACCUCACGCUAUCAGAGGGGCCUAGGUCGGAUUAGAUAGUUGGUGGGUUAAAGGCCUACCAAGGCGAGUAUCCGUAACUGGUCUGAGAGGAUGAUCAGUCACACUGGAAGUGAGACACGGUCCAGACUACUGAGGGAGGCAGCAGUGGGGAAUAUUGGACAAUGGGCGAAAGCCUGAUCCAGCCAUGCCGAGUGUGUGAAGAAGGUGUUCGGAUUGUAAAGCACUUUAAGUUGGGAGGAAGGGCAGUAAGUUAAUACCUUGCUGUUUUGACGUUACCAACAGAAUAAGCACCGGCUAACUUCGUG
RNAcentral lists this ribosomal RNA (484 nucleotides) under uncultured bacterium. RNAcentral describes it as "partial 16S ribosomal RNA". It matches the Rfam family "Bacterial small subunit ribosomal RNA", at positions 30 to 507 of the family's 1533-position model. The record is from RNAcentral.